This is a long non-coding RNA of Pogonomyrmex barbatus (red harvester ant), 309 nucleotides long. The record is from RefSeq and is a predicted model, not a curated record. Lineage: Eukaryota; Metazoa; Arthropoda; Insecta; Hymenoptera; Formicidae.
UAACAUGUGACAUUUUGCGAAAUGUUAGUUUUUCUAUGAAACUAAAAACAAGAAAUUAUGAAUUCACAACCAUUAUAUUUUGUUUUACUGGCAAUAGUUUUCACUCUUGUACUUACAAUACUACCUGUAGUACAUGCAGUAACUAAAGUCGAUGCUAUAAUAGGACCAUGUCCUAACCAUGUCCUAAGAGGACAAUGGCCUAUAGGAAUCAAGUGUUGAAGAAUUAUACUUCGAAGGUAUUAAUUUGCAACUAUGAAAAUUAAUUUUAUAUGUAUUAAAAUGAUAAAAUAAAUAAAUACUUAAAAUGUA